AGCUCCAAUAGCGUAUAUUUUAGUUGUUGCAGUUAAAAAGCUCGUAGUCGAAUUUCUGGUGGGAGAAUGCGGUCCGACCUCUAGGUGGGUACUUGCACUCUCCGGCCAUCCUUGGGCGGAGCUAGUCUGGCAUUAAGUUGUCGGAUUAGGGAUGCUCAUCGUUUACUGUGAAAAAAUUAGAGUGUUCAAAGCAGACUUAUGUCGUUGAAUAUAUUAGCAUGGAAUAAUAAUAUAGGACUACGUUUCUAUUUUGUUGGUUUGCGUAACGUAGUAAUGAUGAACAGGGACAGUUGUGGCCAUUUGUAUUCACAUGUAAGGGGUGAAAUCCUUAGAUUAUGUGAAGACAAACUACUGCGAAAGCAUUUGGCAAGGAUGUUUUCA
RNAcentral lists this ribosomal RNA (381 nucleotides) under uncultured eukaryote. RNAcentral's name for it is "SSU rRNA". It matches the Rfam family "Eukaryotic small subunit ribosomal RNA", at positions 587 to 972 of the family's 1831-position model. The record is from RNAcentral.